AGAAGACGGCGCCCUCCGACGAUGUCUGGGGCUGCUUGGCGUGGGACUCCUCUGGCGCUGGUGCGGUCGUCGCGCAUGCGCGGGGGUGGGCAAGGCAGUGGUCAGCGACCCGCAGUCCAUCUGACUCCUGCUUCCCGGGUGUUGCUCGUGACAAGGAAGAUGGGGAGCCAAAGACCAAGCAUCUCAGAGAAGAGGAGGAAGAAGGCGAGAAGCACAGGGAACUUAGGCUGCGGAACUAUGUCCCGGAGGAUGAGGACCUGAAGAAGAGGAGGGUGCCCCAGGCCAAACCGGUUGCAGUGGAGGAGAAGGUGAAGGAGCAGCUGGAGGCCGCCAAGCCCGAGCCCGUCAUCGAGGAGGUGGACCUGGCCAACCUUGCUCCUCGGAAGCCUGACUGGGACCUCA
This 402-nucleotide small RNA is filed under the name Pan troglodytes (chimpanzee). Its description in RNAcentral is "processed transcript". The record is from RNAcentral. Lineage: Eukaryota; Metazoa; Chordata; Mammalia; Primates; Hominidae.